Molecule: long non-coding RNA, 3153 nt
Filed under: Olea europaea subsp. europaea
Lineage: Eukaryota; Viridiplantae; Streptophyta; Magnoliopsida; Lamiales; Oleaceae
Source: RNAcentral
CUUGUAAUAUAUUUUCAGAUUAUCGGCGUUCCAUUGCCUUGGGAGUGGUUUCCCCGAUGUGUUUCUGAGGCUAUAGGCUCUACCUUUAAAUUUUCUUAUGACCUUGUAGGGUCCCUCCCAUGUCGGCCCAAGUUUCCCUGGUUGGUGUUCGACAGCUUCUACUUUUCUAAGGACAAAAUCGCCAGCUCUAAACCUCCUGGUCUGGACCUUGUUGUUGAAGUGCUUUGCCAUUCUGUUUUGAUAACUCCCAGCCCUAAGUGAGGCUUGCUCCCUUAUCUCUUCAAGCAAGUCAAGGUGCUCAGUAGUUUGUAUCUCUCUAUUUGUCUCGAGCUUUCUUAUUGUGGGAAGGCUAACCUCGAUUGGGAUGGUCGCCUCAAGUCCAAAAGCAAGCAUGAAUGGCGUUUCACCAGUUGCUAUCUUGUGCGAAGUCCUAUAUGCGCAUAAUAUCGAAGGCAGUAUGUUAGGCCAGUUACCUUUGGCGUCCCCUAUCCUUGUUCGGAGGUCCUGCAAUAUGAUCCGAUUAGUUACUUCGGCUUGCCCAUUGCUUUGUGGGUGUGAGACCGAGGUCAAGCGAUGAUCAAUCCCAUUGCUGGCGCAGAAGUUCCUGAAUUGGGGAUUGUCGAAUUGCCUUCCAUUAUCUGUGAUGAGGACUUUAGGUAUCCCGAACUUGUAUAUGACGGACUUCAAUAUGAAUGACCUGAGCUUCGGCUCUGAAAUUGUUGCUAGAGGUUCGGCUUCUAUCCACUUUGUGAAAUACUCCACUGUCACAGCUACAAGUUUUAAUUGUCCUCGGACCAAGGGGAAAGGCCCAAGAAUAUUAACUCCCCAUUGCUCGAAGGGAGCUGAGUAGUGAAUGGAUGUUAGUUCCUCGGCAGGAGUAUGUAUGACGUGGCCAAACUUUUGGCACUUGUCGCACUUCCGGACGUAAUCUGUGGCAUCUUUCUCCAAACUUGGCUAGUAGUAUCCAUACCUUAUCAACUUAUAUGCAAGAGCUCGGGCUCCCUUGUGAUUUCCACAAAUGCCUUCGUAAACUUCAGUCAUUGGUUGAAGAGACUCGGAAGGUUUGAGACAUCUUAGAUAGGGAAGUGUGAAACUCCUACGGAACAGGACUCCUUCGAUUAUACAAUAUCUAGCAGCUCUAUACCGAAUGCUUUUGGCAAGCCGAGGGUCUACAGGAAUGUUGCCAUUACUUAUGUAAUCAACUAUUGGAUCCAUCCAGGAGGGUUCAUGGUCGAUGUCCAUGACACUUGGCUUCUGAGCUAUACUUGGUUCUGCAACCAUCUUGAUGUGCACGGUUCUAUCGAGCCCAUCCAUACCCAUGAAGAUGAGUCUGGAUAAUGCAUCAGCCUUGGCAUUUUCGGCUCUGGCUACCUUCAGAAUUUCACAACUUACGAACUGCCUCUGGAGGUCAUGUACUUUCAAACAAUAUAAGCUCAUUUUUUCAUCCUUUCUUUCGAAAGACCCCUCGAUUUGUUAGACCACUAGCUGUGAGUCACUGAAAACUUUAACGCGCUCGCACUCAAGAUUUUUCCCGAGUUCCAGGGCUAUAACAAUGGCUUUGUACUCUGCUUCGUUAUUGGUAGCUUCGAAUUCAAAUCUGAGAACGUAUUGUAUAUCGUAGUCUUGUCCGGACUUGUGCCCGAGCUAUUGGAUGCUCCAUCAACAAAAAUCUCCCAUAUUUCUAAGGUCGAGUUCGAGCCCUUGGCCGGUGUUUCUAAGGAUCUCGGAGUAAGCUCUGCUAUGAAGUCGACUAAAGCUUGGGCCUUGAUUGCAGGUCGUGGCUUGAACUCUAUGUCAAAUUUGCCGAGUUCAAUUGCCCAUUUCAGUAGCCGUCCUGAGACGUCCGGCUUCUAAAGUAUAUGUCUGAGAAGUUGGUUGGUGAGCACAACAAUUGGAUAUGAUUGGAAGUAUGGCCGUAAUUUUCUAGCAACUAUUACUAAAGCAAGGGCGAGCUGUUCCGCAAGCAUGUAUUGUGUUUCUGCAUCGAGGAGCACUUUACUUACAUAGUAAACAGGUUGCUGAACUCUUCCUUUUUCCUUUACCAAGACACCGCUUACUGCGUUCUAAGAAACGACCAAGUAUAAUAGCAGCGUGUCACCGGGUUCGGGUUUAGUAAGGACUGGAGGCGUUGAUAAUGUCUACUUGAGCUCCUGAAAAGCUAAGUUGCAUUCCUCAUUACAGUCGAACCCUUUAUUUCCCUUAAGUACUUUGAAAAAGGGGAAUCACUUGUCUGCUGCCCGGGAAACAAACCUAUUCAGUGCUGCUACGCGACCUGUCAACUUCUGAAUGUCCCUUUUGCACUUAGGGGCCUCCAUACUUAUCAGAGCUUGGAUUUUAUCAGGAUUUGCCUCUAUUCCUCUGUGCGUGAUCAUAAAACCCAAGAAUUUUUCAGAUGCCAUCCCAAACGCACACUUUGCCGGGUUGAGCUUCAUGUUGUACCUCCGUAACAUAACAAACACUUCCUCUAGAUCAGAAACAUGGCUAUUCAACCGUUUGCUCUUAACCACCAUAUCAUCCACAUAUGCUUCGACCGUUUUCCCAAUUAGCUUGGCGAAGAUCUUGUUCACUAACCUUUGAUAUGUUGCUCCAGCAUUCUUCAGUCCAAAGGGCAUGACCCUGUAGUAGUAGAUGGUUGAAUCUGCCAUGAACGAGGUCUUCUCUUGAUCUUCUUCUGCCAUGAGAAUUUGGUGAUACCCCGAAAAAGCAUCCAAGAAGCUGUAAAGCAUAUGACCUGACGUGCUAUCUUCCAUAUUGUCAAUUCGAGGUAAGGGAUAACUGUCUUUGGGGCAUGCUUUAUUCAGAUCUGUGAAGUCAAUGCAAACUCGUCACUUUCCAUUAGCUUUCUUGACAAGAACCACGUUGGCAAGCCAUUCGGGAUAUUGUACUUCUCGAACGAACUGUACGUUAACAAGUUUGGCAAUCUCCUCUUUUAUGAUUUCUCGUAUUUCUGGUGCAAACUGCCUCUUCCUUUGCUUCACAGGUCUUGCUUCCGAGUUUACGUUAAGUCUAUGUACUGCAACCUCUGGAUCAAUUCCAGGCAUGUCCUCAACAUUCCAAGCGAAUACAUCAAUGUUGCGGGAGAGACAACUUAGAAGUUCAGACAUGACCGCUGUAUCUAACCCCCGACCAAUUGUGACUUUUCUUCUAGGCUCG